RNAcentral lists this transfer RNA (73 nucleotides) under Stegodyphus mimosarum. It matches the Rfam family "tRNA". Rfam says of the family: Transfer RNA (tRNA) molecules are approximately 80 nucleotides in length. Their secondary structure includes four short double-helical elements and three loops (D, anti-codon, and T loops). Lineage: Eukaryota; Metazoa; Arthropoda; Arachnida; Araneae; Eresidae. The record is from Rfam by way of RNAcentral.
GCCUUCGUGGUGUAGUGGUCAGCCCGCUCGACGCGUAACCGAGAGGUCCGUGGUUCGAUUCCCGGCUCAGGCG